AUGAAGAGUUUGAUCCUGGCUCAGGAUGAACGCUAGCGGCAGGCCUAACACAUGCAAGUCGAGGGGUAACAGGAAGUGCUUGCACUUUGCUGACGACCGGCGCACGGGUGCGUAACGCGUAUGCAAUCUACCUCUUACUGAGGGAUAGCCCAUGGAAACGUGGAUUAACACCUCAUGGUAUUUUAAAUUGGCAUCAAUUUAAGAUUAAAGGUUACGGUAAGAGAUGAGCAUGCGUCCUAUUAGCUAGAUGGUAAGGUAACGGCUUACCAUGGCAACGAUAGGUAGGGGUCCUGAGAGGGAGAUCCCCCACACUGGUACUGAGACACGGACCAGACUCCUACGGGAGGCAGCAGUGAGGAAUAUUGGACAAUGGGCGAGAGCCUGAUCCAGCCAUGCCGCGUGCAGGAAGACUGCCCUAUGGGUUGUAAACUGCUUUUGUAUAGGAAGAAACCUUUCCUCGUGAGGAAAAUUGACGGUACUAUACGAAUAAGGAUCGGCUAACUCCGUGCCAGCAGCCGCGGUAAUACGGAGGAUCCAAGCGUUAUCCGGAAUCAUUGGGUUUAAAGGGUCCGUAGGCGGGUUUAUAAGUCAGUGGUGAAAGUCUGCAGCUUAACUGUAGAACUGCCAUUGAUACUGUAGAUCUUGAAUCAUUAUGAAGUGGUUAGAAUGUGUAGUGUAGCGGUGAAAUGCAUAGAUAUUACACAGAAUACCGAUUGCGAAGGCAGAUCACUAAUAAUGUAUUGACGCUGAUGGACGAAAGCGUAGGUAGCGAACAGGAUUAGAUACCCUGGUAGUCUACGCCGUAAACGAUGGUUACUAGCUGUCCGGCCUAAUUGAGGGCUGGGUGGUUAAGCGAAAGUGAUAAGUAACCCACCUGGGGAGUACGUUCGCAAGAAUGAAACUCAAAGGAAUUGACGGGGGCCCGCACAAG
This 931-nucleotide ribosomal RNA is filed under the name Zunongwangia atlantica 22II14-10F7. RNAcentral's name for it is "bacterial SSU rRNA". It matches the Rfam family "Bacterial small subunit ribosomal RNA", at positions 1 to 929 of the family's 1533-position model. The record is from RNAcentral. Lineage: Bacteria; Pseudomonadati; Bacteroidota; Flavobacteriia; Flavobacteriales; Flavobacteriaceae.